This 403-nucleotide ribosomal RNA is filed under the name Bacteroidota bacterium. RNAcentral describes it as "Bacteroidetes bacterium partial 16S ribosomal RNA". It matches the Rfam family "Bacterial small subunit ribosomal RNA", at positions 355 to 776 of the family's 1533-position model. The record is from RNAcentral. Lineage: Bacteria; Pseudomonadati; Bacteroidota.
UGGGGAAUAUUGCACAAUGGGCGAAACCCUGAUGCAGCGACGCCGCGUGAACGAAGAAGGUAUUCGUAUCGUAAAGUUCUGUCCUAUGGGAAGAUAAUGACAGUACCAUAGAAGAAAGCUCCGGCUAAAUACGUGCCAGCAGCCGCGGUAAUACGUAUGGAGCGAGCGUUGUCCGGAAUUAUUGGGCGUAAAGGGUACGCAGGCGGUUUAAUAAGUCGAAUGUUAAAGAUCGGGGCUCAACCCCGUAAAGCAUUGGAAACUGAUAAACUUGAGUAGUGGAGAGGAAAGUGGAAUUCCUAGUGUAGUGGUGAAAUACGUAGAUAUUAGGAGGAAUACCAGUAGCGAAGGCGACUUUCUGGACACAAACUGACGCUGAGGUACGAAAGCGUGGGGAGCAAACAGG